This 30-nucleotide small RNA is filed under the name Bombyx mori (domestic silkworm). RNAcentral describes it as "ovarian small RNA-7959". The record is from RNAcentral. Lineage: Eukaryota; Metazoa; Arthropoda; Insecta; Lepidoptera; Bombycidae.
UGAAGGCGGCACGGUCGCGUACCGUCUUUA